This 1205-nucleotide unclassified non-coding RNA is filed under the name Hevea brasiliensis (rubber tree). Lineage: Eukaryota; Viridiplantae; Streptophyta; Magnoliopsida; Malpighiales; Euphorbiaceae. The record is from RNAcentral.
AGAGAGAGAGAGAGAGAGAGUAUAUCAAAUUCUUGAUAUUUCUCUCAUCGUGCGCUAAUACACAGGAUUGUUGAAUAUUAGUAAAUUUAAGCAAGCUAAUAGUUGAAAGCCUAGAGCUAUAGCAAAGUUAAGCCCACCUUAGGGCUGGGCUUACUCGCAUAUUUGGAGAUAUUUAAAAGUAAAGUGGACAGGAGUUUGAAUAGUAAGAGUUAUGCAAAGCUAAUCCAACUCAGCAACUCCUUAUAUUUGCUAGAAUGCUAGAAGGGAAGUUUCUCUAUUUUGGCUUUUGGAGAUUGGAUAUAUAAAUUGAAGGUCCCGUUAAGAUAUAAUAAUAGUAACUUGCAACAGAAGUAUGAAGUAGAAUUCUGUGUAGCAAGAAGCACAGAAGAUGUAAGAAUUAUUGGGAAUGUUAGAAAGAUGUUGAACAAAGCACAAAGCUAGCUUUAGGCCCAAAAUUCUGUAUAAUGCUUUAAAAGAUUGUUUGAUUUAUUUUCAUCUUUAACAUGAUCUGCUGUGGAAUAGCUUCUAAGGACAAUGAAUGGUGGCCUUCAUUGGAAUGCAAUUAAGAGUGAUCUGUAGUUAUUUGAAUGGUGUUUUUGUAAAUGUAACGGGGAAGUCUUGCUGGAUUAUUUGAGCAUGGAUUUGGAAAAAAGAACAGAAGGGGCAUUCUCUUAACUCUUUUUCCUAGAGUUGCUGCCAGGAGUGCAAAUGAGCAAGCAACUCGAAACUUCACUCAAUAAAAGCUUACUUAAAUUUGGUUGUCAAGAUUAGUGAGCCAAGUACUAUAAAGCUCUUAUGAUAAGCAGCUCAGUUUGAGCUCUAUGAAGUCAACUUAUUUAAACUCCUGAGACAACUUAUUUCUAGCUUCAUAAAUUCUGUGUGGAUUAAUUAGCAGUUUGAUUUUAACUUUGUUUCAUUUCAUUUAUGUAUAUGGUUUUGCAUUCAAGAUUGGAUUUAACAGCAUUCUGUACCCUAUAAAUGUCAUUCAUUGCCGUCUUAUUUUUUAUAACUAUUAAAUGUCAUAUUCAUAGUUGUGUGCACCAUCUUCAGCUAAACAGCAUGGAUUUUUUUUCCUCUAAUUAUUCUCAGCUGGAUUCUUAAUCAUUACUUCUUUGUUUAAUAGUUUUCUGAAUGUAGCAAUUUCUUUAUAGUUGGUAUGUUUGUUUCGUGGUUAUGACAGCCUCAAUAAACUGCCUCUAAAUUUU